UACGGAGGAUGCAAGCGUUGUCCGGAUUUAUUGGGCGUAAAGAGCGUGUAGGCGGCCAGAUAGGUCUGCUGUGAAAACUCGAGGCUCAACCUCGAGCUGUCGGCGGAAACCAUUUGGCUAGAGUCCGGAAGAGGAGAGUGGAAUUCCUGGUGUAGCGGUGAAAUGCGCAGAUAUCAGGAAGAACACCUAUGGCGAAGGCAGCUCUCUGGGACGGUACUGACGCUGAGACGCGAAAGCGUGGGGAGCGAACAGG
This 253-nucleotide ribosomal RNA is filed under the name uncultured bacterium. Its description in RNAcentral is "partial 16S ribosomal RNA". It matches the Rfam family "Bacterial small subunit ribosomal RNA", at positions 524 to 776 of the family's 1533-position model. The record is from RNAcentral.